AGAAGUAGUAGUAGUAGGUGGUACAGUUGAACUGGAGGCUGCUGUUGUAAUGGAUGUUUGAGAAGAUUCAGUGGUUGUAGCCAAGGUGGGUCCAGUGGAAGAUCCAGAAAUAGUAGUAGUAGGUGGUUCAGUUCAAGUGGAGGCUGCUGUUGUAAUGGAUUCUUGAGAAGAUUCAGUGGUUGUAGCCAAGGUGGGUCCAGUGGAAGAUCCAGAAAUAGUAGUAGGUGGAUAAGUAGUAGAAGGUAGUUCUGUGGAUGUCAGGGUUGCAGUUUUAGUUGGUGUUUGAGUUGAGGCAGUAAUGGUGGCUGAUGUGGUUGGAAGAACAGUGGGAAUUCCAGCAAUAGUAGUAAGUGGUUCAGUUGAAGUGGGGGCUGUUGUUGCAGUAGAUGUUUCAGUUGAGACAGUAGUUUUGUCUGAUAUGGUUGGAAGAAUAGUGGAAGUUCCAACAGUAGUAGGUGAUUCAGUUGAAGUGGGGGCUGCUGUUGUAGUGGAUGUUUGAGGUGAGGCAGUAGUGAUGGCUGAUAUGGAUAGAAAAACAGUGGAAAUUCCAACAGUAGUAGUAGGUGGUGGUUCAGUUGAAGAGGGAGAUGCUGUUGUAGUGGCUGUUUGAGUAGAUGCUGGUGGCUAAUGUGCUUGUAAGUGCAGUGGAUGUGCUAGCAGAAGUAGUAGGUAGUUCUGUUGAAGUAGAUGCUGUUAUUGCAGUGUAUGUUUGAAUUGGGGAUAUACUUAUUUCUGAUUUUGUUGUAAGGACAGUAGUACUUUCAACAGUAUUAGCAGGUGGUUCUAUUGAAGUGCUAGUGUAGUGAAUGUUUCAGUUGAGGGAGCAGUGGUCACUGAUGUGAUUGUGACUUGAGUGGAAAUACUAGUAGUAGUGGCAGCUGAUUCAGUUGAAGUAGGGGUCGCUGUUGCAGUGGCUGUUUGAAUGGAGACUGUACUGGUGCCAGAUGUGGUUGUAGGUUCACUGGACAUGCUAGUAGUAAUUUUUUUGAUUCAGCUGUUGUAGCUGCUGUUGGAGUGGUAAGCUCAGUGGGUUCCGUAGUGAUAGUAUAUAUGGUUGUAGGUUGAGUGGAAGUACUUGCAGUUGUAGUAGCUGUUACAGUUGAAGUGAUGUCUGCUGUUGUAGUGGUCAGUUGAGUGGUGGCAGGUCUAGGAGACAGUGUGGUUAUAGCUUCAGUGCCCAUAGUAGUAGUAAGUUCAGUUAAGGUACUGGCUGCAGUGGUAGUGGUGGAUACAAUGAAAGCAUUAGUCAUGGCUAGUGUGUUUGUAUCCUCAGUGGAAGUGGUGGCAGUCAUUGUGGUAGUUUGUUCAGUCGAAGUUACCAUUGCUGUUGUAAUGGUGGGUUCAGUAAAAGUGAUAGUAGUGGC
This 1364-nucleotide long non-coding RNA is filed under the name Heterocephalus glaber (naked mole-rat). RNAcentral's name for it is "lncRNA (ENSHGLG00100041411.1)". Lineage: Eukaryota; Metazoa; Chordata; Mammalia; Rodentia; Bathyergidae. The record is from RNAcentral.